Molecule: ribosomal RNA, 850 nt
Filed under: uncultured archaeon
Lineage: Archaea
Description: bacterial SSU rRNA
Rfam family: Archaeal small subunit ribosomal RNA
Source: RNAcentral
CGGAGGCUACCGCUAUUGGAGUUCGAUUAAGCCAUGCGAGUCGAGAGUCUUAGGGACUCGGCGUACCGCUCAGUAACACGUGGGUAACCUGCCCUAUGCUGGGGAAUAACCUCGGGAAACUGAGAAUAAUGCCCCAUAGUCCACAAUGCCUGGAACGGUUUGUGGAUCAAAGCUCCGGCGGCAUAGGAUGGGCCUGCGGCGUAUCAGGUUGUAGGGGGUGUAACGUACCCUCUAGCCAUCAACGCGUACGGGUGUUGGGAGACAUAGCCCGGAGAUGGAUUCUGAGACACGAAUCCAGACCCUACGGGGUGCAGCAGGCGCGAAAACUUGGCAAUGCGAGAAAUCGUGACCAGGGAACUCCAAGUGGCUGGGGUAAGACCCAGUCUUUUCUUGACUCUUCAAAGGUCUUGGAAUAAGGGGUGGGUAAGGACGGUGCCAGCCGCCGCGGUAAUACCGGCGCCUCAAGUGGUAGUCGAUUUUAUUGGGCCUAAAACGUCCGUAGCCUGUUUGGUACAUUCGUGGGUAAAUCAACCAGCUCAACUGGUUGAAUUCUGCGAGCACGGCCAGACUUGGGACCGGGAGAGGUGUGGGGUACGCUCAGGGUAGGGGUAAAAUCCUGUCAUCCUGAGCGGACCACCUGUUGCGAAGGCGCCACACUAGAACGGAUCCGACGGUCAGGGACGAAGCCUAGGGGCACGAACCGGAUUAGAUACCCGGGUAGUCCUAGGUGUAAACGCUGUGGACUUGGUGUUGGGGACUCUCCGAGAUUCCUCAGUGCCGAAGCGAAGGUGAUAAGUCCACUGCCUGGGGAGUACGGUCGCAAGGCUGAAACUUAAAGGAAUUGGCGGGG